This is an RNA transcript of Gambusia affinis (western mosquitofish), 6078 nucleotides long. It is a transcript of the gene named AT-rich interaction domain 5B, with no coding region annotated. The record is from RefSeq and is a predicted model, not a curated record. The transcript is spliced from 11 exons. NCBI's taxonomy places the organism in Eukaryota, Metazoa, Chordata, Actinopteri, Cyprinodontiformes, Poeciliidae.
CGAGAUGGAGCCGAACUCACUGAAGUGGGUGGGCUCGUCUUGCGGUUUACAUGGACCAUAUAUAUUCUAUAAAGCCUUUAAAUGUACCCGGGAUGGCAAAGCGAGAAUCCUCGCUCUCGGAGACUUUUUCUUCGUCAGAUGCAAACCCGAGGAUCCUAUAUGCAUAGCGGAGCUCCAGCUUCUCUGGGAGGAAAGAACAAGCAAGCAACUUUUAUCCAGCUCCAAACUUUAUUUCCUACCCGAGGAUACUCCCCAGGGACGAUCCGUCGCUCACGGAGAGCACGAGGUCAUCGCCGUGUCCGAGAAGGUGAUCGUGCGACUCCAGGACCUGGUGAAGUGGACGGUACCGGACUUCUCGGGAUGGGCCAACGGUCUGAAGGUGGAGCCGCUCAAACCCUCGGUGCUCCGCGAGCUGGGGACCAACGGGCGGCGCGAGGCCCUCCACCGCUACAGGGAGAGCACGCUGACCAGCGGCCUCAACUUCAAGGAUGUCCAGAGGGAGCGGGCGCAGCUAGGACAAGAAGAGGAUGGACGGAAAGUGUUAGUCCUCAGUUACUCCCAGUACUGUCGCUACCGCUCCGUUCUGGCUCGGCUCAGAGAGCAGCCGUCCUCGCUGUUCAUCGAUCACACGGUGCUGGCGCUGGGCGGUAUUCCUGCACUGGGCGGCAGCACGAGAAUCCUGUACUGCCGCGACACCUUCGAACACCCCACCCUGCUUCAGAAUGAGAGCAUCUGCGACGAGUUUGCUCCGAACCUGAAGGGGCGACCUCGAAAGAAGAAGCUUUCCAUCUCUCAGAGGAGGGACACCCAGGGUCAAGCUCCAGGUCAGGGCUCGUCGGGGUCGACCCAGGGUUCAGCAGCUGUGGCAGCUCCGGACCCCUCGAGCCCAGAGAGCAAACCUACAACCAAGGUCAAGCCCGGCUGUAAAACGGUACCCAACGGAAAACUAACCACGCCGGGCAAACAAAGGCCCGCCGGGCUCAGUAAGAAGUCCUCACCUGAGGAGAAGGAGAGAGGAAAGGAGAAGGACAAGGAGGAGAGGAGUGAGAAAAAGGACGAGAGGAAAGAUGAGGAGACUUCAGAGGAGAGCCGCGCGGAGGAGCAGUCUUUCUUGGUAGAGCUCUACAAGUACAUGAAAGAACGAGACACGCCCAUAGAGAGGAUCCCCUUCCUCGGCUUCAAACAGAUCAACCUUUGGACCAUGUUUCAAGCUGCUCAGAAACUUGGAGGAUAUGAGUUGAUCACGGUGCGCAGGCAGUGGAAGCACGUAUACGACGAGUUGGGCGGAAACCCCAGCAGCACAAGCGCCGCCACGUGUACGCGGAGGCACUACGAAAGGCUCCUCCUUCCUUACGAGAGGCACCUUAAAGGCGAACAGGACAAGCCCCUCCCGCUGGCCAAACCCAGGAAGCAGGAGGGCAGCCAAGAGAAGGCGUCUGGAGCCGGCGUCAAAGUGAAAGUAGUAGGGCCCAAGAAACUGAAAGGCCCCAACCAUCCGAAGCUGAGUAGUAAGAAGGACAGAGGAGAGGUGAAACAAGAACUAACACAGGAGUCAAAGGUGAAAGAAGACAACCAUGAGAUCUCCACAGCCAUAAAAAUCGACGCCGCUCUUCAAGACGAACCGAUUGUAAUAGAGGAGGAAGAGUUACAUGUCACCCUGAAGAAAGAGGAGUCGUUGGCCGUGGAGCAGCCGUCCUCGCUCUGCCUCAAAGAAUCUGACUGCAGAUCGCCCCACAGUGGUUUCUCCCUCCACACAGGGCCUUCCGCCCAACCAGAAUGGAGGCAGAUCGGCGAGGCGCUCCAAGCGAAGCUCGCAGGCGAACAGCAAACUGAAGGGCAUUUCAUUCCAAAAACGUCUUUCCUGCUUCCCCGCUGGGAUCAGACUAAAGCUGCUGGACAUGUGGCUCUGCCUGAGCACUUCUCCAAGGUCAAAGACUGCAUUGAGAAUCAUGGCGGGAGAGUGGGGAAAGUGUUGCCUAUGUGCAAGCAGGUGGAUGGACAGUGUAUAGAUUUGAGCACGGAUUCUUACUCGGAGAAGGACGACUACGGGGCGAUUAAGAAGGAGUCGACCCAGACAGCCGUCUACUGCAAAGCCAACCAGGGGGUCAUGUCUCCGUUGGCUAAAAAGAAGCUCCUGUCCCAGGUGUGCGAGUCCAACCCGUACUCCUUUUCCUCUCUUCAGUCUCCCCCUCCCGCAGCGGUGUCCUCUCUCCAUCGAGGUGAUCGAGAGAAGGAGAAAAGAAAGAGUGAAGAAGAGUUGCUGGGACAAAGGUACCAGGGUGCGUCCGACAGCAUCCCUGAGGUCUCGCCCAUAUUCAGGCCGUCGGUGAUCCAGCACGCACAAAGCAGCAAGGCUCACCAACACACCAGCGGAGGGCAAUCGGAGAGGAUCGCUGCGGCGGAGCUGUCGGACUCUUACAGCCGGACGAGUCAUCAAAUUCAGCCGCAGGCGAGCGUGCCCUGGCAGCCGUACCUUACCAGAACCCAAACCCAGGACUGUGCGGAGACCGCCGGGAAAAAAAUCCUCCAAGGUCCAGUCACCCAGUGCAGGAGCUAUACGGGGGACUGCUACUCAUCCCCUCACCUUCACAGAUUGUACAGACAGACUGAGAGCUGCCUGAGCCAAGAGAGAAUGGCUGGCUUUCCUGGCGGAGAGCGGAGAGAGCACUACAGCAGGGAGGGCGAGGGCGGCCAAAGCUUUGUCUGUGCCGGUCUGGAGCAGGAAGGGUUGGUGUACAGAUCUCACUACGGUGACAGGACUCAGACGCAAGCAGAGAAUGGAGAGGCUGAAGACGAGCCCAGAGACUUUUCUAUUUCUAAACCUCUAUCUCAAAGGGUUUCCUCCUUUUCCAAGCCCUCUUUCUGUAGUCUCUCCUAUCCCAUCAUGCACCACGGUUUGGAUUCCCAUCCUAAGGCGUGCAGAGUCUCGCCUAUGACAAUCUCUACCCCCAAACAAAGCUCACCAGAUACUUCUCAGUCGUUUCCCAGCCCCAAAGCCUCAGGCGAACUGUCCCUCAACAGUCCCAUUCGGCCCGGUAAGCGAAGCCUGGCAGAGGCGGACAGCGAAGACGCCCCGGAGAGGAAGGUGCGAGUGGUGACCCCUAUUCACCCGGCCAGCACAGUCCGACGAAGCGACCCUGAGGAGCUGAAACCCGCUGAGCCAGCCCACGCCAUUCACCUCAACAAUCAUCUCCCCGAGGGCCACUCUAUGACCGCCUACCCUCCGCCCCACACCGCGCCCCUCUAUGCUGGCAUUUAUCCACACGGCACGCUGGUGUCACCAGGCUCCCAGGAUGGGCUCCAGCAGCACCCGGGCCUGCAGUACCUGAAAAGCCAGUCGGCCGUGUCCCCGCUAAUGCCCCCUUUCACCAUCCACUCCAUGAUGCUCCACAGGCAGCUGCUAGCCUCCAGCCCCAGCCCCCACCACCUCUACAGGUACCCGGGCGGGGCGGCACUGUACGGAGAGCUGUUGCACCACCUCUACCCUCUCUCGACCCUCCCCCCACCUCAGCUGUCGUCGGUACACCCCAGCACCAGACUUUGAGGGAGAGGAAACACAUUUUCUUUUCUUCACAUUGUUGAAACUGUGUCGGCUUAUUUUCAUUCACAUCGUGGCUUGAGUCGAGGCAAAACUAAGAUCAUACGUUUUGCCGAUGACAAACUGCUAAAUCCAUCAGUCGGACUGCAAAUUACUUUUUUUUUUCUAACUGUGUAUGCCUUCGUUUAUAUAUCUUGCACUGCUCUUUAUUUUUUAUCACCUCUUACUGUAUCUUGUUGUUGCUUUUGUAACCCUAUUUGCACAAUGCUCGUGUGUAUUAUGCUCACAAAUCAGCUUGUCGCUUUCAGUGACCCACGAGUCAGGUUUGUUGCUCUGGAACAUGAGAAGUUGAGGGAAGUAGAGAAAAGCCAUUUGUUUACUGUGUCUGAGGGCUAAACGUAGUUGCCUAAAAACACUAAAAGUAACAUGACAAUGAAAUACAAACUCUUAACCUCAGUAUGUAUGUUUUUGCAAGCAGGCACGGGCCGGUAUGAGAUCCUUAGAGGACAGUCAGUUUGAGUAGCAGUACCACAGUAUUCACAUAAAAAUAAAGCAAAAAUCUGUACCAUUAUCUAACUUAUUUCAUUUAAAGCAGAAAAGCAUUGUACUUUCCCAACUUCUGCAAAGAAUUUUAAGUUCGUUGUUACAGUUAUAAUCAAGCUAGGGCAACACACAUUAGCGCCUUCAAACUUGUUCCCAAAAGUUCGUGUCCAUCCAACAACAUCCCGCGACGACAGUGACUGAUUGGUGGCUGACACUACUGGAUUAAAUACCCAGAGAUCCCUUUAAAACCGUUUCUAUUCACAAGCGACAAAGCUCAUUUAAGGCUAGAGUCCGGUAAUCUGUUCUCUCUCUGCACACUUGAGCACGACGCGCCCCAUGAGUGUUAAGCAUUAUUUGACUAGCAUUAACUAGCACAACUGAUUCACUCUUCUCUAUACCUGAAAUAUUCAUUUGUCAUUUUGAUUUUAAUACCAAAUUAAUAAAAAUACAUAAGAAACAAAGUUUUUAAGAGCUUACUGUGCAUAAUACUGAUUAAUUAGUCAGGCUAACUGCUCCGGUAGAGUUUGCAAUCAGUGUCUUAACAGAAAUGCAGCUUGUAGCUUGGCAACCGUGGUUUUGCAAGUGUUAAGUCUUUUUCAUAAUGGGAAAUAUUUUCAAACAUCAAAAUUUGUCUUACUUUUAACUGAGGGUAAAGUGUAGCAGCCUUCUGUCAAGAAGCUAACUGUUAGUGCACAGCAUUAGGUGGGGGAGGGACAGAACUGUGUUGAUUUACAGGCCUGGAAACAAAUUAAGAGACCGCCUAAUUUGGCUAUAUUUUCAGUUACAGCUUUCAAAUGCCUUGACAUAUUCUCUACAGUCUUUCAUAUUACUGUAUUUUAUUAACUGUGAUACAUGUAGAAAUGCUGUUUUCAGAGCUCUCUCAAUUUUUUUCCGGGGCUGUAGGCCACAAAAGUUAGAGAAAACUGGUCACUGUAGCAUCUCGUUGAAAAGAUUCUUGACUUUAGAAGCAGGAUGACAAAAACGGUUUGCAAUUUUGAAGACACAACUUUUUAAAACCAGUAACCAGCCCAUGCCUAAUUGCUACCAAAAUAAAGCAGCUGAAUCAUUUGUUGUUUCUCUCCAGGCAGCCAGUGCUGUUGUGUCUGUUUACAUGUCUCCACGCUGAACUUUGUUCCUUGCUUGUGCCGCAGUAAAUCCAGCUGGAGUGGACUGAUUGGGAUAAACGUUAACACCCGCUGUGGCGCUGCUUAACACGAACAGUUUCGUCACGACCACAUUCAGAGGUGCUGUGUGUAACAGAUGUACUGUAGAGUCGCUCUUUUACAAAAUUCAGGACCGUCUUUGUUGUUUUUGAACGCAUCUUCCUCCGACGCGUUCGCAUUUGUUUGCAAGUCAUGGCUGUUUUGUCUUCGGCCCGUGUGACUUUCAUGAAAGUGUGAUGAAAGCAGUUGGACCUCGGAAUAUUUUUGUGACUAGUAGACUGUUGUGGCUCGUUUUGCGUCUGCAGGAACAGCGUAAUGAAGCAGCCGUGUGCUGUGGAAUGCUCACCACAAGGAAGAAGCCAGUUUCGGAAAACAGCUGAUGAAGACACGACUUUCGGUGUCUGGUCAUCUGCAGGGCACAUUCUCUAGCCGCGAUGUAAACGGUACCAAACUCCAUAAAGAAUUCCUACCGCACUCCGCAGCCCCGAGGUGCAAAGACAACACCUGCGCUGGCUUUUUUACAACCACUAUAAUUGCAAUCCAGGAAAGCUGAAAUACACAGAGAACUUUUUUUUUUUUGCUGUUUAAAGCAAGGAAUUUUAUUUUAUUUUAUUUUUAAAAAGCUGUAAACAUCUACGAUUUUGCUGAACACUUAAAAACAUUCAUUACUGAUUCUAGUACUGUAGAUUGCUGUGUGUAGGUACGCUGGCUCCUGUACAGAACAUUGACACGGAGGGAACUACUCACAGCAAACUCUCUCUUUUUUGUCUUAAUAUCUGUGUAAAUAGCACUGUAGAUAACACUGCGUGGGUGUUCUCAUAUAAACUGUUAUAA